Molecule: long non-coding RNA, 2347 nt
Organism: Brachypodium distachyon (stiff brome)
Lineage: Eukaryota; Viridiplantae; Streptophyta; Magnoliopsida; Poales; Poaceae
Exons: 7
Source: RefSeq, a predicted model, not a curated record
CCACCCCCUGCACCUCUAAAAUUUGCCCCUCAUUUUGUUGUGUGCUUACGGUCGAAAGGCCGGUGAGCUCGACGGGGCUCCAUGGACGGCGCACCGAGGCGAGGAAGAGAAAGUACGCUCUGUGUCCCCUUGGACAGCGAGCCAACAGGCUGUUUGUGGACAGGCCACGAGGAUGGGUGGAUCCAGGUGUGUGGUGCAUGGACCUCGCCGCGGCGCCGGCAGCUGCGGGAGAUGGCGGCGAGGACACGCCCAUGUUCAAGGGGUUCCUGUCAUGGGAGGUGUGCAGCCGCAUGCCGGUGCUCUCCUUGGUCAUGAUGUCAUACAGCGAGAAAAUAACUCGUUUCCUUGUUCGCCCCUAGCAGUUUUGUUUUUCAUCAACUGCUUUAAGCAAAUGGAAAAUCUGCAGUAGAUUGAAAGGACGGUGUGCUGAAUCCGGCAAUAGCACCAACAGCCCUUAUUAGUUACUCAGAACUGAAAGCAAAGAAUGCUGUGUUGCGCUGUGGUAAAAUAACUAGCAGCCCUUAUUACAACUGAAAGCAAAGGAUUUUGCCCAGUCACUCACUCAUUCAUCCUCCAGUUCGACUUCUAUCAUAUAUUCAUAUGAAAAGAGUUAGCUGAUGAAUUGCUCAAUUUACAUUUCAGAUUAUACAAAUCAGACUUGUUCCAUUUAUGUCUAUUUUUCCCAUGAUUGAAAAAAUAAUUCAUUUAUCAAACAUUGGGGUAAACAAUGCUUCCCAUGACCUUAAUUGAGUUGCAGUCCAUGUGCAAAGCAUUUGUUCCUUAGACUUCUGUUUUGUUGUUGAAUCUAGGAUGAUAAACCUACUGUGCCUUGUUUCUCAGAACUGAAGAACGAAACAAAUUCGGUGAAGCCAGGACCAUCUGUAGGAACUACUGCUAUUGGUGGUUCAUUCAUUCUUCUAAUUCGUGAUGGGAAAUCUGUUACUAAAAAGGAUUUCUUGGACGAAAGGAUAAAACUAGAAAUCUUGCCAGUAUUCGUCUUAGUUUAUCCUGAAGAGACAUUAGUUGAGCAUAAAGGUAUCUAAUGGUAAUGGAGGAUGGCCCAUUUCGUCUACUUAAGGACAUACUCUAAGAGGUGUCUUUCAAUUCUCUAGAACAGAAAGGGUCAAGUACUCCAGGAGUUUGGUGUUACUCUAAGAGUGAUCUUCAGGAAAUAUAUAUAAUGAAGAUGCCUUGUAUGCUUCUGACAGAAUAUGUAUUCAGUCCAAAUCAGAUGACAUAAAAUCUAUGGCAAAGAGUGGUAGAAGAAACCAUGUCAAACAACUGGAGCAGCACAUAACACCUUGGGGAAAGAGGUAAUCACUGUAAAUGCUAUUGACUACUCAUCUUUGAGGCUUCGUGGACUUCCAUUUUUCAUUAAAAUAACUUGUAGAAAUUGUCCUACGUCACACGUCGAUAUCGUGAUACAACAAGACCUUUUGAGUGGGAUGCACUGCUAACAGGAUCCCCCAAUCAGCAUGAAUUCAAUUGAAAUUUCAAUUUUGAAAUAACCGUCUAGUCCGUCCUGCUACUCCGGUGAUCUCUUGCUCCGUCUGUGGAGAUAAUCUCCCGUACGGGAGCAGCAACAAGCGCCUUGGCUGCCCAGCAGCAGUGAAGAAGCGCCUCAGGACGGGCGGCACGGAGGCGAUGUCUCUCAGCGCAGGCAAACACUUCCUGCCCCCAGGCACAAGGUAGAGGCCACUUCUUCCAGAAGUAGCGGGGACAUGGAUGGGUCAUCCUCCAAAGUUAGAGGUGAUGCACAACCUGACAACCAUGAGAACCAUGGCCAGCCAUCAGCUUGGGGCCUCCUCGGACAUCAGCCAUGACCACCACGGCAACGCUGCUACUUGCAUCAAAUUUUAGUCCAAACACCUGUGUGAGGAAUCAAAACAGAUAUGAUCAGUUCGGUCUUAUCAAUGGGUAAGAGCAGAAAUAUUCACAUGUUUAUCCAGGCCUCAAUGUGGACCGAAACAGCCAGGUACCAAGAGAACUCUUGGCUAUGAUCAUGAAGAACUUCAUGCGCUAGCAAAUGCAACCAAAAGACCGAUCUGAUAGAAAAGCUAUGUAAUCCACUUAUACUUAACACUUUACACAAGGCGGGUAGCCUGAGUCAGAUGAUACUACAAGCUCCAUCUCCAAAAUCACGUAACUGUGAAUUGUGUAAUAAGUAUUGGAUCUGGAGUUUUCAAGAUGUAUUGAGAUUUAAUAAUUUUAGAGAUAGAUCUUGUAUAAAGGAAAAUAAGUACUCUCUCCCAUCCAAAAUAAGUGUAUUUGUUUUAGUACAAUUUUGUAUUAAAUCAACGAAACUUGUUAUGAAUCGGAGAGAAAUGUUACUUUUCCAGAAUGUGAA